ACGGGUGCGUAACGCGUAUGCAAUCUGCCUUUCACAGAGGGAUAGCCCAGAGAAAUUUGGAUUAAUACCUCAUAGUAUUAUAGAGCGGCAUCACUUUAUAAUUAAAGUCACAACGGUGAAAGAUGAGCAUGCGUCCCAUUAGCUAGUUGGUAAGGUAACGGCUUACCAAGGCCACGAUGGGUAGGGGUCCUGAGAGGGAGAUCCCCCACACUGGUACUGAGACACGGACCAGACUCCUACGGGAGGCAGCAGUGAGGAAUAUUGGUCAAUGGACGCAAGUCUGAACCAGCCAUGCCGCGUGCAGGAUGACGGUCCUAUGGAUUGUAAACUGCUUUUGUACGAGAAGAAACACUCCUAUGUAUAGGAGCUUGACGGUAUCGUAAGAAUAAGGAUCGGCUAACUCCGUGCCAGCAGCCGCGGUAAUACGGAGGAUCCAAGCGUUAUCCGGAAUCAUUGGGUUUAAAGGGUCCGUAGGCGGUUUAGUAAGUCAGUGGUGAAAGCCCAUCGCUCAACGGUGGAACGGCCAUUGAUACUGCUGAACUUGAAUUACUGGGAAGUAACUAGAAUAUGUAGUGUAGCGGUGAAAUGCUU
RNAcentral lists this ribosomal RNA (591 nucleotides) under Flavobacterium sp. StRD364. RNAcentral's name for it is "bacterial SSU rRNA". It matches the Rfam family "Bacterial small subunit ribosomal RNA", at positions 102 to 691 of the family's 1533-position model. Lineage: Bacteria; Pseudomonadati; Bacteroidota; Flavobacteriia; Flavobacteriales; Flavobacteriaceae. RNAcentral also lists the same sequence under 3 other names. The record is from RNAcentral.